Molecule: ribosomal RNA, 492 nt
Filed under: uncultured bacterium
Lineage: Bacteria
Description: partial 16S ribosomal RNA
Rfam family: Bacterial small subunit ribosomal RNA
Source: RNAcentral
AGUGAACGCUGGCGGUAGGCCUAACACAUGCAAGUCGAACGGCAGCACAGUAAGAGCUUGCUCUUACGGGUGGCGAGUGGCGGACGGGUGAGGAAUACAUCGGAAUCUACUUUUUCGUGGGGGAUAACGUAGGGAAACUUACGCUAAUACCGCAUACGACCUACGGGUGAAAGCAGGGGAUCUUCGGACCUUGCGCGAUUGAAUGAGCCGAUGUCGGAUUAGCUAGUUGGCGAGGUAAAGGCCCACCAAGGCGACGAUCCGUAGCUGGUCUGAGAGGGUGAUCAGCCACACUGGAACUGAGACACCGUCCAGACUCCUACGGGAGGCAGCAGUGGGGAAUAUUGGACAAUGGGCGCAAGCCUGAUCCAGCCAUACCGCGUGGGUGAAGAAGGCCUUCGGGUUGUAAAGCCCUUUUGUUGGGAAAGAAAAGCAGCAGGUUAAUACCCCGCUGUUCUGACGGUACCCAAAGAAUAAGCACCGGCUAACUUCGUG